CGAGCGAGCUUGCCUAGAUGAUUUUAGUGCUUGCACUAAAUGAAACUAGAUACAAGCGAGCGGCGGACGGGUGAGUAACACGUGGGUAACCUGCCCAAGAGACUAGGAUAACACCUGGAAACAGAUGCUAAUACCGGAUAACAACACUAGACGCAUGUCUAGAGUUUGAAAGAUGGUUCUGCUAUCACUCUUGGAUGGACCUGCGGUGCAUUAGCUAGUUGGUAAGGUAACGGCUUACCAAGGCAAUGAUGCAUAGCCGAGUUGAGAGACUGAUCGGCCACAUUGGGACUGAGACACGGCCCAAACUCCUACGGGAGGCAGCAGUAGGGAAUCUUCCACAAUGGACGAAAGUCUGAUGGAGCAACGCCGCGUGAGUGAAGAAGGGUUUCGGCUCGUAAAGCUCUGUUGGUAGUGAAGAAAGAUAGAGGUAGUAACUGGCCUUUAUUUGACGGUAAUUACUUAGAAAGUCACGGCUAACUACGUGCCAGCAGCCGCGGUAAUACGUAGGUGGCAAGCGUUGUCCGGAUUUAUUGGGCGUAAAGCGAGUGCAGGCGGUUCAAUAAGUCUGAUGUGAAAGCCUUCGGCUCAACCGGAGAAUUGCAUCAGAAACUGUUGAACUUGAGUGCAGAAGAGGAGAGUGGAACUCCAUGUGUAGCGGUGGAAUGCGUAGAUAUAUGGAAGAACACCAGUGGCGAAGGCGGCUCUCUGGUCUGCAACUGACGCUGAGGCUCGAAAGCAUGGGUAGCGAACAGGAUUAGAUACCCUGGUAGUCCAUGCCGUAAACGAUGAAUGCUAAGUGUUGGGAGGUUUCCGCCUC
RNAcentral lists this ribosomal RNA (817 nucleotides) under uncultured bacterium. Its description in RNAcentral is "bacterial SSU rRNA". It matches the Rfam family "Bacterial small subunit ribosomal RNA", at positions 50 to 839 of the family's 1533-position model. The record is from RNAcentral.